This 259-nucleotide long non-coding RNA is filed under the name Vigna radiata. RNAcentral describes it as "long non-coding RNA (VRAD_LNC009970)". Lineage: Eukaryota; Viridiplantae; Streptophyta; Magnoliopsida; Fabales; Fabaceae. The record is from RNAcentral.
AGCCUGACCCAAACUUGUUUAGCACUCAUCAGUAAGUGCUUCUCCUUCCAACACCCUUCAGUAGGUGUUCUUAUCUUGUAUCCUUCAGUAGAUACAUAAAAGAUUUAGCAUCCCUCAGUAGAUGUGUCGCAACCGGAAUCACGACGGGACGACGAUCCAAAAAGAAAACAAUUUUGAUUUUGAAAAAGAGAUUUGGAGUCACCACCAUAGCUUAUUCUGGAAAACUACGGAAAAACCAUAAAGUGAUAAAGCACGGUCC